RNAcentral lists this ribosomal RNA (451 nucleotides) under uncultured bacterium. RNAcentral's name for it is "bacterial SSU rRNA". It matches the Rfam family "Bacterial small subunit ribosomal RNA", at positions 354 to 796 of the family's 1533-position model. The record is from RNAcentral.
GUAGGGAAUAUUGCGCAAUGGGGGAAACCCUGACGCAGCAACGCCGCGUGAGUGAGGAAGGUCUUCGGAUUGUAAAACUCUUUUAUUUGGGAAAAAUGUCCAUAUGGCUAAUAUCCAUGUGGAGUGAUGGUACCAAAGGAAUAAGGACCGGCUAACUUCGUGCCAGCAGCCGCGGUAAUACGAAGGGUCCAAGCGUUGUUCGGAAUCAUUGGGCGUAAAGCGCGCGCAGGCGGAUCAGCAAGUCAGGUGUGAAAUCUCGAAGCUCAACUUCGAAACUGCGCCUGAAACUGCUAGUCUAGAAUGUCGGAGGGGGCAGGGGAAUUUCACGUGUAGGGGUAAAAUCCGUAGAGAUGUGAAGGAACACCGGAGGCGAAGGCGCCUGCCUGGACGACUAUUGACGCUGAGGCGCGAAAGCGUGGGGAGCAAACAGGAUUAGAAACCCUAGUAGUCC